ACGCUCGACACCUACGGGUGGCAGCAGUGGGGAAUAUUGCACAAUGGGGGAAACCCUGAUGCAGCGACGCCGCGUGAGCGAAGAAGUAUUUCGGUAUGUAAAGCUCUAUCAGCAGGGAAGAAAAUGACGGUACCUGACUAAGAAGCCCCGGCUAACUACGUGCCAGCAGCCGCGGUAAUCUGAGCGGGCUGGCAAGGC
This 198-nucleotide ribosomal RNA is filed under the name uncultured bacterium. Its description in RNAcentral is "partial 16S ribosomal RNA". It matches the Rfam family "Bacterial small subunit ribosomal RNA", at positions 328 to 539 of the family's 1533-position model. The record is from RNAcentral.